RNAcentral lists this transfer RNA (73 nucleotides) under Hydrocarboniphaga effusa AP103. It matches the Rfam family "tRNA". From Rfam's summary of the family: Transfer RNA (tRNA) molecules are approximately 80 nucleotides in length. Their secondary structure includes four short double-helical elements and three loops (D, anti-codon, and T loops). Further hydrogen bonds mediate the characteristic L-shaped molecular structure. tRNAs have two regions of fundamental functional importance: the anti-codon, which is responsible for specific mRNA codon recognition, and the 3' end, to which the tRNAs corresponding amino acid is attached (by aminoacyl-tRNA synthetases). tRNAs cope with the degeneracy of the genetic code in two manners: having more than one tRNA (with a specific anti-codon) for a particular amino acid; and 'wobble' base-pairing, i.e. permitting non-standard base-pairing at the 3rd anti-codon position. RNAcentral also lists the same sequence under 1 other name. Lineage: Bacteria; Pseudomonadati; Pseudomonadota; Gammaproteobacteria; Nevskiales; Nevskiaceae. The record is from Rfam by way of RNAcentral.
GCGGGAAUAGCUCAGUUGGUAGAGCGCAACCUUGCCAAGGUUGAGGUCGCGGGUUCGAAUCCCGUUUCCCGCU